AGCGAACGCUGGCGGCAGGCUUAACACAUGCAAGUCGAGCGGGCCUUUCGGGGUCAGCGGCGGACGGGUGAGUAACGCGUGGGAACGUGCCCUCUGGUUCGGAAUAACUCAGGGAAACUUGAGCUAAUACCGGAUACGCCCUUUUGGGGAAAGGCUUGCUGCCGGAGGAUCGGCCCGCGUCUGAUUAGCUAGUUGGUGAGGUAACGGCUCACCAAGGCGACGAUCAGUAGCUGGUCUGAGAGGAUGAUCAGCCACACUGGGACUGAGACACGGCCCAGACUCCUACGGGAGGCAGCAGUGGGGAAUAUUGGACAAUGGGCGCAAGCCUGAUCCAGCCAUGCCGCGUGAGUGAUGAAGGCCUUAGGGUUGUAAAGCUCUUUUAUCCGGGGCGAUAAUGACGGUACCGGAGGAAUAAGCCCCGGCUAACUUCGUG
This 433-nucleotide ribosomal RNA is filed under the name uncultured bacterium. RNAcentral's name for it is "partial 16S ribosomal RNA". It matches the Rfam family "Bacterial small subunit ribosomal RNA", at positions 29 to 507 of the family's 1533-position model. The record is from RNAcentral.